Molecule: ribosomal RNA, 541 nt
Filed under: uncultured Gallionellaceae bacterium
Lineage: Bacteria; Pseudomonadati; Pseudomonadota; Betaproteobacteria; Nitrosomonadales; Gallionellaceae
Description: bacterial SSU rRNA
Rfam family: Bacterial small subunit ribosomal RNA
Source: RNAcentral
AAUGGGGGAUAACGUAGCGAAAGUUACGCUAAUACCGCAUAUGCCCUGAGGGGGAAAGUGGGGGAUCGCAAGACCUCACGUUUUCGGAGCGGCCGAUAUCAGAUUAGCUAGUUGGUGGGGUAAAGGCCCACCAAGGCGACGAUCUGUAGCUGGUCUGAGAGGACGACCAGCCACACUGGGACUGAGACACGGCCCAGACUCCUACGGGAGGCAGCAGUGGGGAAUUUUGGACAAUGGGGGCAACCCUGAUCCAGCCAUGCCGCGUGAGUGAAGAAGGCCUUCGGGUUGUAAAGCUCUUUCGGGCAGAAAGAAAUCGCACGGGCCAAUACCCCGUGUGGAUGACGGUACUGUAAGAAGAAGCACCGGCUAACUACGUGCCAGCAGCCGCGGUAAUACGUAGGGUGCGAGCGUUAAUCGGAAUUACUGGGCGUAAAGCGUGCGCAGGCGGUUUAUUAAGACAGAUGUGAAAUCCCCGGGCUUAACCUGGGAACUGCAUUUGUGACUGGUAGGCUAGAGUGUAGCAGAGGGGGGUAGAAUUCCA